CUCAUUCUUAAAAUCAUUAUUAAAAUAUAACACUCACAUUUGUAACUUUCCUAAAAACUGUGCAAUAUGAAGCAUUUAAUCCCUUAAAGACACAUGACGUGUGACAUGUCAUAAUUCCCUUUUAUUCCAGAAGUUUGGUCCUUAAGGGAUUAAAGGAACACUAUAGCGUUUGGAAUGGUCACCUAAAUGGUGAAAAAAUUUAACUUUUUUAGUGAAGCAUUUAAAGGAACACUAUAGCGUUCGGAAUAGUCACCUAAAUAGUGACUAGAGCAAGUGGUGCUUACCUUAAAUCAAGCUGGGGCUACCUCGGCACUGGUGACCUCUCCUCCUCCAUCAACGACAGCUCCUGGGAGACAGCCACUAGAGGCUAGAUUAACCCUGCAGCUGUAAACAUAGCAGUUUCUCUGAAACUGCUAUGUUUUCAGCUGCAGGGUUAAAACUAGGGUGCCCUGGCACCCAGAUAACUCCAUUGAGCUGAAGUGGUCAGGGUGCCUAUAGUGGUCCUUUAAAAGAUCAUGCAAAGCUUCAUAACUGUAUAAUGCCAAAAAAGUGACCUUGCAUCCCUCAUUGUAAAUAUCCAAAAUAUUUUAGAAUAACUUGACUCCUUACUUGGGGUUUCUGAACUCUUAGCAGCCAGGUUGGUGGAAGGCCUUUGGUGCAGGCCUAGCUCAUUGGCUGAGAGUGUCACCCGAUCCUUGUCAGCCAAUGAACUAAGCCCUGAACCACCAGCUUCCAGCUGGAUAAGGGUCAGGAAGUGUUGCACAGUGGACCAAAGAUAAGAAGACAAACCAUUCUAAAAUGGUUUGACUACUUACAAUGGAGGAGCACCAGGGCACUCCUGUGGUGGUUAUGGUGCUCGGAGUGUUUGUUUAGAGUUGGCCAUUUUUUAAAGUGGAGGUAUACAUACUGUUUACAUACAAUUAAUAUUCUUUAAUAAAUCACUUUGAUUGUUGAUAAUGUAUUUAUAU
Non-coding RNA from Pelobates cultripes (western spadefoot toad), 968 nucleotides. The record is from the annotation of a GenBank genome assembly. NCBI's taxonomy places the organism in Eukaryota, Metazoa, Chordata, Amphibia, Anura, Pelobatidae.